Molecule: unclassified non-coding RNA, 2514 nt
Filed under: Sipha flava (yellow sugarcane aphid)
Lineage: Eukaryota; Metazoa; Arthropoda; Insecta; Hemiptera; Aphididae
Description: beta-TrCP, transcript variant X2
Source: RNAcentral
AAACCCAUUCGUGUCGCGAAAACUGUCCGAAAAAACUCUCUCCGUCUCGCUUGCGCGCGCGCUCCGCAGUGUGAAAAAUGAAAAUGAUCUCGUCGUUGUGUUCGCGUUAUUUUCACUGAUAUAGUUCACGUACGUGCAACGAUACCAAUAAUAGUAAUAAUAAUAAUAAUAAUAAUAGUAAUAGUAAUAAUAAUAACACCAUACGAAUCGAUCCGGGAGCAGUGAAUGAUACACACAAUAAUAUAUAGUGUACAAGUAUUUAUACGCUACAACACACGUCAUUCAUAGUCACAUAGUCAACGCAUAUACAAUAUAUGCACGCACACACGCUCACGGUCGCGUUGAUUUUUGUUUUCGUUGUUUUUUUUUUUUUUCUUGCCGCUGGUUUCUUUUUUUCUUUGUUUUUUUUAAUUUGAUUGUUCAUCUCGCGCCGACGAAAACGCGGUCGUAUCGUGGCUGCCUCGAGCCAGUGGGUGUUGUUGCUGUGAGCGCGCGCGCGUGUGGUGCACCGUGAAAAUCGCGUACUCCGUGCGUCUCGUCGGUAACGCACCAGGGCAAGAGGCAACAACAAUCACGUUUCCGUCGACUCGUCCACCAGCUAAACGACCGCCGCCACUAACGAACGUCUAUCUCCUGACCACUUCAACAACGGACUCUUGGUGGUGCACUGAUGUUGCCGCAGGCAUGAGCGUUGCCUUGUGCUCAAUGUGGCGCCCAAUCAAAUGGAUAGAGACAAUGUGACUGCUAUGGAAACUGAUAAAAUAGUGGAUGACGAUAUCGGUAAUCCUCAGUAUUCACCAAUGACGAUAUUAUACGAUCCAACAAUCCGAAAAGAUUCUGCAACCAAUGGUGUUGCAUCUCCACAAUUUGCCACUGAACAAGAGUUGUGUCUUAUGUACUUUGAUAAAUGGAGCGAACAGCAUCAAAUCGACUUUGUCGAACACCUAUUGUCUCGGAUGUGUCACUACCAACAUGGACACAUCGACACAUAUUUAAAACCCAUGUUACAGAGAGAUUUCAUAUCACUCUUACCCAAAAAAGGCCUAGAUCAUGUGGCCGAAAAUAUUUUAUCCUAUCUUGAUGCUGAGUCUUUAUAUGCUGCAGAAUUGGUGUGUAAAGAAUGGUAUAGGGUAAUAUCAGAAGGUAUGUUAUGGAAAAAGCUAAUUGAACGUAAAGUACGUACCGAUUCAUUAUGGCGAGGUCUUGCUGAACGAAGAGGGUGGAUUCAAUACUUGUUCAAGCCAAAGCCAGGCGAACAUCACCCAGACCAUUUCUCCUAUAGGGCUCUGUUUCCUAAAAUAAUACAAGAUAUAGAAAGUAUAGAAUCAAAUUGGCGAACUGGCCAUUUUCUAUUACAAAGGAUAAAUUGCCGUUCAGAAAACUCCAAAGGUGUAUAUUGUUUACAGUAUGAUGACAAUAAAAUUGUCUCAGGUUUACGUGAUAAUACCAUAAAAAUAUGGGAUAGAAAUACAUUAGAAUGUGUUCAGGUAUUAACUGGCCAUACCGGGUCAGUUUUAUGUUUACAAUAUGACGACAAAGUGAUUGUGAGUGGUUCCAGUGAUAGUACAGUUCGAGUAUGGAAUGUUGUUAACGGUGAAAUGGUCAACACUCUAAUACACCAUUGUGAAGCAGUAUUACAUUUAAGGUUUAGCAACAAUAUGAUGGUCACUUGUUCAAAAGAUCGAUCAAUUGCUGUAUGGGAUAUGGUGUCACCUAGUGAAAUGACUUUACGUCGUGUCUUAGUUGGACACCGAGCUGCAGUAAAUGUGGUUGAUUUUGAUGACAAGUAUAUUGUAUCAGCUUCCGGAGAUCGUACUAUUAAAGUAUGGAACACAUCAAGCUGUGAGUUUGUACGAACUCUUAAUGGUCACAAACGUGGUAUUGCCUGUCUUCAAUAUAGAGACCGAUUAGUUGUUAGUGGAAGUUCUGAUAACACCAUUAGGUUAUGGGACAUAGAAUAUGGUGCAUGUUUGAGAGUACUUGAAGGGCACGAAGAACUUGUACGGUGUAUUAGGUUUGAUAGUAAAAGAAUUGUUAGUGGAGCAUAUGAUGGGAAAAUCAAAGUAUGGAAUUUAGUAGCAGCUUUAGAUCCCAGAGCUCCAGCAUCAACUCUAUGUCUCCGUACACUUAUGGAGCACUCUGGACGAGUAUUUCGACUCCAGUUUGAUGAGUUUCAAAUAGUCAGUUCUUCACAUGAUGAUACAAUACUAAUUUGGGACUUCCUCAACUAUAAUGAUACAAAUAACUCUGCAGCGGGUCCAUCAAAUAGUGUUGGCAUGCAUGGUGCUACAUCUCAUGCUAACGACACUCUUCCUCCUUUACCACCAGGUUUUGAGUGAUCCAAUGGGCUAGUCAUCCAUAACUAACCAGAUUAUGUUCGUGUACAAAUAAUACAGAACUCAUCUUAAAAUAUUGAUGAAAGAUGACAUUUGAAUACCACUGUUUGGAUUCAUAACAACGCGAACUUACACAAUGUGCACAUCUUAAAAGAAAUUUUGGACUAACAGGUUUGUU